GAUGAACGCUGGCGGCGUGCCUAAUACAUGCAAGUCGAGCGAACAGACGAGGAGCUUGCUCCUCUGACGUUAGCGGCGGACGGGUGAGUAACACGUGGAUAACCUACCUAUAAGACUGGGAUAACUUCGGGAAACCGGAGCUAAUACCGGAUAAUAUAUUGAACCGCAUGGUUCAAUAGUGAAAGACGGUUUUGCUGUCACUUAUAGAUGGAUCCGCGCCGCAUUAGCUAGUUGGUAAGGUAACGGCUUACCAAGGCAACGAUGCGUAGCCGACCUGAGAGGGUGAUCGGCCACACUGGAACUGAGACACGGUCCAGACUCCUACGGGAGGCGGCAGUAGGGAAUCUUCCGCAAUGGGCGAAAGCUUGACGGAGCAACGCCGCGUGAGUGAUGAAGGUCUUCGGAUCGUAAAACUCUGUUAUUAGGGAAGAACAAAUGUGUAAGUAACUAUGCACGUCUUGACGGUACCUAAUCAGAAAGUCACGGCUAACUACGUG
This 497-nucleotide ribosomal RNA is filed under the name uncultured bacterium. Its description in RNAcentral is "partial 16S ribosomal RNA". It matches the Rfam family "Bacterial small subunit ribosomal RNA", at positions 28 to 507 of the family's 1533-position model. The record is from RNAcentral.